This 326-nucleotide ribosomal RNA is filed under the name uncultured eukaryote. RNAcentral describes it as "partial 18S ribosomal RNA". It matches the Rfam family "Eukaryotic small subunit ribosomal RNA", at positions 1470 to 1796 of the family's 1831-position model. The record is from RNAcentral.
CCCUUAGAUGUUCUGGGCUGCACGCGCGCUACACUGAAGCGUUCAACGAGUAUUUCACCUUGCCCGGGAGGGUUGGGUAAUCUUUUUAAAACGCUUCGUGAUGGGGAUAGAUUAUUGCAAUUAUUAAUCUUCAACGAGGAAUUCCUAGUAAGCGCGAGUCAUCAGCUCGUGCUGAUUACGUCCCUGCCCUUUGUACACACCGCCCGUCGCUCCUACCGAUUGAGUGCUCAGGUGAAUAAUUCGGACUGCAGCAAUGUUUGGAUCCCGAACGUUGCAGCGGAAAGUUUAGUGAACCUUAUCACUUAGAGGAAGGAGAAGUCGUAACA